AUUUAAACAGUUUUAAUGAAUAAACAUUAAAAGAACAUAUUAGCUCAUUAGAUUUAAUAUAAACUUGCAUAAAUAAUGAAAAAGAGAAUACAAAAAGUGAAUAAAGAGAGAAAAUAUAAUUGUUUCCUUGAUAUAAGGAGGUGGUUCCCAAAUGAUUAUGCAUGCAUACUUAAAUAUGUGGAGUGCAAGAGAAUGGUAGGUGUGGCAGAAAUAUUCAAAAACAAAGAUUUGAUGAUAUUUGCAAAAAAUUCUUAUGCCAAAAAGAAAAUAUUUGAUCAUUUUCUUAUUUAGUUACAUGUGAUAUAAUAUAGAGGUUCUUAAAUUUAUUAUAGAGUUGCAUUCAAAAAGUUUGGUCAUAAUUUGAAUCCAUGAAAAUUCAGAAUACAAUAUUCCAUAGAUAUAGUGCUAUAAAUGUAGGUUAGGUUCCCCAACUACAGAACUCAGAAUAUUCAAUAGGGUCAUUCCAUGUCAAAGGGACCAAUAUUGAAAAGUGUCCCCACUCGACCAUCUCC
RNAcentral lists this long non-coding RNA (512 nucleotides) under Androctonus crassicauda. Lineage: Eukaryota; Metazoa; Arthropoda; Arachnida; Scorpiones; Buthidae. The record is from RNAcentral.